This is an unclassified non-coding RNA of Otolemur garnettii (small-eared galago), 102 nucleotides long. It matches the Rfam family "Y RNA". From Rfam's summary of the family: Y RNAs are components of the Ro ribonucleoprotein particle (Ro RNP), in association with Ro60 and La proteins. NCBI's taxonomy places the organism in Eukaryota, Metazoa, Chordata, Mammalia, Primates, Galagidae. The record is from Ensembl.
GGCUGGUCAGAGUGCAGUUAUGUUUACAGCUAAUUAAUCACAACCUGCCACAGAUUUUUUUGUUCCUUCUCCAUUCCCACUGCUUCACUUGAUGAGCCUCAU